This 419-nucleotide ribosomal RNA is filed under the name bacterium. RNAcentral describes it as "partial 16S ribosomal RNA". It matches the Rfam family "Bacterial small subunit ribosomal RNA", at positions 355 to 776 of the family's 1533-position model. The record is from RNAcentral.
UGGGGGAUAUUGCACAAUGGGCGAAAGCCUGAUGCAGCGACGCCGCGUGGGGGAUGAAGGCCUUCGGGUUGUAAACUUCUUUUGCUCUGAACAAGGCAUGCUAAUGGGUGUGUUGAGUGUAGGGGUUGAUUAGCGCCGGCUAACUACGUGCCAGCAGCCGCGGUAAUACGUAGGGCGCGAGCGUUGUCCGGAAUUAUCGGGCGUAAAGGGCUUGUAGGUGGCUGGUUGCGUCUGUCGUGAAAGCUCAUGGCUUAACUGUGGGUUUGCGGUGGGUACGGGCUGGCUUGAGUGCAGUAGGGGAGGCUGGAAUUCCUGGUGUAGCGGUGGAAUGCGCAGAUAUCAGGAGGAAUACCGGUGGCGAAGGCGGGUCUCUGGGCUGUUACUGACACUGAGGAGCGAAAGCAUGGGGAGCGAACAGG